Molecule: non-coding RNA, 26 nt
Filed under: Mus musculus (house mouse)
Lineage: Eukaryota; Metazoa; Chordata; Mammalia; Rodentia; Muridae
Source: RNAcentral
UGCAAACCCCGGCUGUGGUGCAGCGC